AACGAACGCUGGCGGCAUGCCUAACACAUGCAAGUCGAACGAGACCUUCGGGUCUAGUGGCUCACGGGUGCGUAACGCAUGGGAACCUGCCCCUAGGUUCGGCAUAACUCCCCGAAAGGGGUGCUAAUACCGGAUAAUGUCUUCGGACCAAAGAUUUAUCGCCUUUGGAUGGGCCCGCGUUGGAUUAGCUAGUUGGUAGGGUAAAAGGCUACCAAGGCGACGAUCCAUAGCUGGUCUGAGAGGGUGAAACGCCACACUGGGACUGCGACACGGCCCAGACUCCUAAGGGAGGCAGCAGUUGGGGAUAUUGGACAAUGGGGGAAACCCUGAUGCAGCCACGCCGCGUGGAGGAAGAAGGUCUUAGGGUUGUAAAGCUCUUUUACCCGGGAUGAUAAUGACAGUACCGGGAGAAUAAGCUCCGGCUAACUCCGUG
Molecule: ribosomal RNA, 433 nt
Filed under: uncultured bacterium
Lineage: Bacteria
Description: partial 16S ribosomal RNA
Rfam family: Bacterial small subunit ribosomal RNA
Source: RNAcentral